GGGGGCGUAGCUCAGUUGGGAGAGCGCUUGAAUGGCAUUCAAGAGGUCAUGGGUUCAAGUCCCACCGUCUCCA
The sequence is a transfer RNA, 73 nucleotides long. It matches the Rfam family "tRNA". From Rfam's summary of the family: Transfer RNA (tRNA) molecules are approximately 80 nucleotides in length. Their secondary structure includes four short double-helical elements and three loops (D, anti-codon, and T loops). The record is from Rfam.